This 420-nucleotide ribosomal RNA is filed under the name uncultured eukaryote. Its description in RNAcentral is "SSU rRNA". It matches the Rfam family "Eukaryotic small subunit ribosomal RNA", at positions 592 to 1018 of the family's 1831-position model. The record is from RNAcentral.
CAAUAGCGUAUAUUAAAGUUGUUGCAGUUAAAAGCUCGUAGUUGGAUUUGUGGCAGUCGCGUGCGGCCCGACACUUGUUGUUGGUGCUUGCUUGCGUCGCCAUCCUUGGGUGGAACCUGUGUGGCAUUAGGUUGUCGUGCAGGGGAUGCCCAUCGUUUACUGUGAAAAAUUAGAGUGUUUAAAGCAGGCUUAUGCCGUUGAAUAUAUUAGCAUGGAAUAAUAAGAUAGGACUUUGAGUCUAUUUUGUUGGUUUGCGAGUCAAAGUAAUGAUUAAUAGGGACAGUUGGGGGUAUUCGUAUUUCAUUGUCAGAGGUGAAAUUCUUGGAUUUCUGAAAGACGAACUACUGCGAAAGCAUUUACCAAGGAUGUUUUCAUUAAUCAAGAACGAAAGUUAGGGGAUCGAAGAUGAUCAGAUACCAU